RNA transcript from Dunckerocampus dactyliophorus (ringed pipefish), 5474 nucleotides. It is a transcript of the gene named TBC1 domain family, member 7, with no coding region annotated. The record is from RefSeq and is a predicted model, not a curated record. Lineage: Eukaryota; Metazoa; Chordata; Actinopteri; Syngnathiformes; Syngnathidae. The transcript has 13 exons.
GUUUACUUCGCCGUAUUCGCAGAGCCAGCACGUCCGCGCCAAAAGAAAGUUUGUGAGUUUUUAUCUUGUUUUAGAGUGACAUGCGACGCCAUAUACUCGGACGCUACACGAGUUUUACUGAGAGAACUUGACCCUCUAAACCAGUGCAUCCUUGGAUACAUCUCACACAUCUCACCACGCCGAGAACCUCUCCGUUUUAGGUGAAAUCAUGGCUGACGACCCUCAGAGAAACUUUCGCUCCGCUUAUUAUGAGAAAGUUGGCUUUCGAGGGGUGGAGGAGAAGAAAUCUUUAGAAAUACUACUCAAGGAUAAUCCUCUAGAUCUUGAAAAGCUGAGCACCUUCAGUCAGAGGUUUCCCCUCCCAUCCAUGUAUAGGGUCCAUGUGUGGAAGGUUUUGUUAGGCGUCUUGCCGCCCCAUAGCGACUCUCAUAUUCUGGUUGGAAGCUACAGAAAGGAGCAGUAUGAGGACAUCUUGAAGGCUCUGGAGGUGAUGAGAUACAUCAACUCCGCCACACCCUCCACUCUUGUGUACUUACGUAUGUUCCAGUUGGAGAGCCAGGUGCUCCCGCGCUGUUCUGAAACCUCACCACCGGAUGAAGAAAACAAGGAUUUCCUGUGCAUCAGUCGAGCAAUGGAGGAGAUUGUAGAGGACCCUUUUGACUGCUACUGGCUCAUAAAAUGUUUUAUCAGUCAGUUCCAUACCAAGUUUGGAGACUCACUUCCACAUCUUCCAAAGAGCCUGGAGCACUACUUAAGUCAGGAGGAGCCUCGGCUGCUCAGCCAUUUGAAGAACAGUGGUGCCUUGGCGCAACUUCCAUACAACCUCUGGUUCAAGCGCUGCUUUGCCGGCUGCCUGCCUGAGUCAAGCUUGCAGCGAGUGUGGGACAAGGUGAUCAGUGGCUCCUGUAAGAUCCUGGUGUUUGUUGCCCUGGAAAUACUGCUCAGCUACAAAAUUAUUCUGCUGGGAAUCAGCCGACCAGAAGGGGUGGCCAAGUUUCUGAGCAAUAUGCCGCAGGAGAACACAGAUGCAAUCGUGACUAAAGCAAUUGACCUAUGGCACAAAUAUUGUGGCACACCAAUGCAUGCCAUGUAGCCUGUAAGGAAAUCCGGUUGUUGCCUUCCCAUGAUGCACCAGCAGUUCACUUGACUCUGAUAAGAGAGUCCCAACUGGACAGUGCAUAAGUGAACAAAAAGUAUUGUUGGAUAAAAUGAGGAAUCAUUUUUAGCAGACUUGAACAUUGGGAGCAACUACAGAAGCAGACAUGUCUCAGAGGAGAGAGCAUCCAAAGUUACGUACGUUUCAGGAUGUUCCUUUGUUCCAGUUCCUCUGCAGUUGGACGUUGACUCAGCCGUCUGGAAAGAGUACAUUUGUAUCUGAGGGUGAUUAGCGUAUGGUGGUUAAGCCAUGCAUUCAUGGAGAGAUCAUCCAAACUCCACACUGAGAUGCCCAAACAGAGAGUCAAACCCUCGAUCUCCUGACUGUGAGGCCAACAUGCUAACCACUCCAACACUGUGCAAACCCAUGUCACCAUAUUUUUAGAUAGCCAAGAAAUUUAAUAGAAGUGUAAAACAAGAUGGCAACCAAAAAGGAAUUGAAGAGGAAACACUACUUAUGCUGCCUUUUGAAAGAAUGGACAUCUUGGAGGUUUGCAAAGGAGAAAUGACAGUGAUGACAAAUUAAGGAUACCUUUUCCGAACCUGCUGAGUGAAAACCUGACAAGGAAGUCGAAGUUUAAAGUUAAGAUGCACUCAAAACUUUCACUGGCUUUCACUGCAAAUCAUUUUACAGGAUGCAAUUACAGUUAAUAUCACAGACAUUUAUUAAAACCAUGAUAUUCGUCUCAGGUUUUUGUGUCCUUUCUUCCGCCACUAUCAAGGAAUAAAUCAUUGAAAAUGUUCAUUUUAUUAUCAGUAUAGCUUAAUAGUGAAACAAUUGCAACCAUGGAAUUUCCAUUUCACCUACAACUAACAAUUUCAAAAUAUACAUAGAAAAUCCUUGGAAAGAUCUCUGCAGGUUCUGCGACCGUGUCGUAUACUGUACGUAUUAGUGCACCGCGCAUUGUGUACCUGUGCUUUCUGACCAUUGUUUGUGCUUUUUACCUAUGUUAGCUAUUAUGGAGGUGAACGGAGAUGUUGUGUGUGUUUUGUCCUCACCAGCAGAGGUCUGCUUGAACUUUUCACUCUUUUUCUUUCUCCAUUUCCAGGGUUUAAAGAGACGCCCCAGGGUGGCAAAUUUACUUCUUCGCCUAAUUGGAGGUGUGUGUGUACCAGGUACCAGUGAAUCAGAACGCAUUGCUGCCAGCCUCUCCACUUCUUCAGCUGCAACACAAAAUGAAAACAGCAUGGUCUUUAACAUGGAAAGAACAUUCACAAAAUAAGUUUUUUUUACAACAAGCAAAUAAUACAUUGCAUCCAUUGUGUUUUGUCGUACAGACACUGGGGACAGACAAUAAUACAAAUUUUGGGAUCAAUCCAAUACAAGACCAUUAUUACCAAAACCGAUACUGGCACAGAUACUUUUUUACUUGAAGGCCAUUGCCUGUGAAUAUUCUCAUUCAUCCAGGUCAUUGUAUUCUCUAGUCAUUGAAUCGGGACUGUUCGAGUUGUCUUAGAAGACGUUUCGCCUCUCUCAGCAGGCUGCAACAGCUAAUGCUCAAAGACUAGGUGGGACAAACACUAGUCAGGCUAGAUAGCACAGCUCUAGUCUGAGACUUGGUGCAAGAUCCAGCGUAUUUAUCCUCCUAAAGGAGGAGGCAUGUCCAGACAGGAAUGGUUUUGCUAUUUUGUGGGGCAUGACAGAAAAUAAUUGAGAACCACUGCAGUGUGAUUAUUUAAUUUCUCCUGCACAGGAGAAGGAAUAGAAUUUCAAAGUUCAUAUAAAUCUAAGCAGUGUUUGUUGUCUUCCUCCUCCUAUAGCUUUGAAGUGAUCUUAUUCGAGGCGGGGUGUUCUCGUCCAGUACUUUGUGCGGUGAUUUGUCUACUAUCUAAUUACUAUAAUAAGGACUUUAAAGAUGACUUGUGGGGUUCUACUGGGCUCCAUUCUUGGACCUGUGCUCUUCUCUUUUUUUAUCUGCUGCCCCAUUUUUAGAAAGCAUAAAAUUGCUUUCCUCUGUUAUGCAGAUGAUACGCAAGUGCAUGUGCCUCUAAAACAAAAGGAUGCCUUUACGUUACAGAAUUUGCUGGACUGUCUUGAGGAAGUAAAUGCCUGAAUGGCUCUAAAUUUACUCAAAAUCAAUGAAAAUAAGACUGUGAUAGUCUUUGUUCCUUGUGCUUCUCGUGAACUCCAUCACAACUCUUAAGACUGAGUUGUUUUUAUUUAUAUUGGCCAGCUUUGUUUACUUACAUUCUGUGAUGUGAUUGAUGCUCUGCUCAGCAAUGACCGUCUGCUCAGAGGCAACAAAAUGUUCAGGGCUUUUGUUCUUUCAGCAGUUUAUUUCUAGCUCUCUCACAUCCAUUCAGCUAUGUACCUCUUCAUCCUCCUUGCUUUGACCGAGCUCAGCAUGUGUUGGAUUAAUACAACGUGACACAACAGCAGCGCCUGUGGGAGAGUGCUUGUGUGUGUGUAUACGUCCCUGAAAAUGCGUGAAUGACAGUUGGCCUAUCACAAGCGUUUGAGUCACCCCCUAUUCUCCUUCCUGUUUUCAUCACUUCUGUCUUGAUAGGCGACCCUCACCUAAACAGCAACCUGAUGGGAGAAAUGCUUCAGAACACAACUUAAUGUAAAAACAUUAAGUUUGGGUGCAAAUUGGGUCAUUUUAGUGCAUCGUUUGAGUUCUUCAGUCAAUCUGCUCCGUACUUUGAUUCCACAUACAGAUACGCUGAAGGUUUUUAGUGAUGUGUGGGCGUAUACGUGUUUUAAGUCAAUUUUUUUCUUAAGAUCAUAUUUCCUCUCUCUUGAUGAAAAGAAUCGUAUUACGUUUCUGGGCAGCUCGUUAUUUUUUGCUCUUCGCUAGCGAUAGUGCCAAGGGGGAGCCACAGCUUAAAAACCCUCUUCUGUGAAUAAAGUCUCCUGUUCAGGAGUACUUGGUCUUCCCAGUGAAAUGCAUAAAUGGACAAAGACAAGCGGAUAAGACAAACGCAGUGUGUCAGCAUUGUUCUGUAGAGAUGGGGAGCAGGGCUACAAGCUCUUGCACCGGUCUAUUGCACUUGUGGCCCAGAGGCCAUUUUUGAACGGGAUUCCCUUGUUCUGAUAGGGGAUAUCAACGCUCAUGUUGGCAGCGACAGUGAGGCCCGGAGCGGCGUGAUUGGGACGAAUGCCCCCUGCCCCGACGGGUCCUGACAGUUAUUUGCAGUUGUGCGCCAAAUAGCAGUUCAGAAUACCUGCCGGACCUGCCAGAAUCCUUCAUCCAGCGGUGAGGGAUGCCGUUAAGCUGAAGAAGGAGUCCUGUUGGGCUUUUUUGGCCCAUAGGACUCUAGAUGGAGCUGACAGGUACCGGCAGACCAAGCAGUUUGCGGCUUUGGCGGUGGCCAAGGCAAAAACUUUGAGUGGAUCUUUGAGAGGAUUUUGUGCAAUGUUUGCUUGGCCAUAACCUAAUUACCUCCAGAUGAAAAUACAAAGGCAAGAUUAAAAAAAGAGUGCUGAUACAACAAAUUAAAGAUAAAAUCAGUUUCAUUCCGCAAUAGAGCCAGCAUGAGCACCAAUUACCAGUAUAGCGAUACUAGAAACAAUGUUAUCCUCCAAAUUGACCCACUAUAUUGUGUAUCACCGUGGGUUAAACACUUUACUUGGCUCUAGUGUUGUCUCUGAGUACAAUGACUAUUUUGUCUGAGCUGAAUGGAAGAAUCCACAUGCCAGAGAGGAUGAGUGAGGGUUUUGUGUGUUUUUGGUGGGAAGCAGCAACAUAAUGGAAGUGCUCCUUCCCCCUUGUUAAUUUCUUCUAGGCCUAUUUAAUAUAUGUCAAUAACAAUAUAUGCAAGAUAGAACAGUGUCCAUGUAUGUGCGUGAGAGCUAAAUGUAUUACUUCUAUUGUACUUAGAGAAAAGGGGUGGGGUGUUUCUAAUGUGUAACUCCCACCAUAUUAUACAGCCAAUGAUUUCCUUACAGAGAGGGCCAGUCUUUAUAUUUUCAACCUGCAUUUUUCCCCACUUUCCUCUUCAAACUCUCCAGUUUCCUCACAUUUAAGUAUUCUGUGACUCAGUCUUUUGUUUAGGUCUUCUUUAGAGCGCUCCCUGCUUCAUUGAGAAUGUGCCAAUGUCUGUGUCUCUGGGAGGCUCUGGGAAAAAUAUCCAACUGAGCUGACCUUGAUUUACUGGAUAAUACAAGCAAUGGAUUAUUAGGAACAUACAUGGAGAAAAGGUAAGGUUAAAGAAGAUCUUCUUCCUACUCCUUUUCAGACAAUGAAUUGUGCAUGUGUAAUUACUAUAUGAUGUUCCUUCAUGUAACGUGUUGAGCAUAUCCGGAACAAAUAAACUAACCAAAACCAACUAACAAUGAGAUGUAUUGUAUUAUCGUAUGGACCAACAUAAAACCUGCG